This 136-nucleotide ribosomal RNA is filed under the name Dephomys defua (Defua Dephomys). Its description in RNAcentral is "partial 16S ribosomal RNA". The record is from RNAcentral. Lineage: Eukaryota; Metazoa; Chordata; Mammalia; Rodentia; Muridae.
ACUAAUGCUAGCCCUAAUAAAUUUAAAUAUAAUUAUACUGACAUAUUAACUAAAUCAUUUAGUAUGACUAAAAGUAUUGGAGAAAGAAAUUUUAAUCAGGAGCUAUAGAAAAAGUNNNNCAAGGGAAAGAUGAAAG